This 206-nucleotide ribosomal RNA is filed under the name uncultured bacterium. RNAcentral's name for it is "partial 16S ribosomal RNA". It matches the Rfam family "Bacterial small subunit ribosomal RNA", at positions 1295 to 1500 of the family's 1533-position model. The record is from RNAcentral.
GGAUUGUAGUCUGCAACUCGACUACAUGAAGCUGGAAUCGCUAGUAAUCGCGAAUCAGAAUGUCGCGGUGAAUACGUUCCCGGGUCUUGUACACACCGCCCGUCACACCAUGGGAGUUGGUAACACCCGAAGUCAGUAGUCUAACCGCAAGGAGGACGCUGCCGAAGGUGGGAUUAGCGACUGGGGUGAAGUCGUAACAAGGUACC